AAGACGCGCUCAGCAACGAUCGGUGGUCGACUCGGUCACCACGACAUCCAUCCGGAU
Molecule: small RNA, 57 nt
Filed under: Sinorhizobium meliloti 2011
Lineage: Bacteria; Pseudomonadati; Pseudomonadota; Alphaproteobacteria; Hyphomicrobiales; Rhizobiaceae
Description: putative ncRNA
Source: RNAcentral